Long non-coding RNA from Chenopodium quinoa (quinoa), 574 nucleotides. RefSeq lists it as uncharacterized. The transcript has 2 exons. The record is from RefSeq and is a predicted model, not a curated record. NCBI's taxonomy places the organism in Eukaryota, Viridiplantae, Streptophyta, Magnoliopsida, Caryophyllales, Amaranthaceae.
GAUAUUCCAAAGUUGUAACAAGCCCUCUUUCGGUUAUAAAAUCUCAAAAUGCUAGUCCACCUCCCAAAAUGCACACCCAAGGCCCCUUAACUACACUCUAACUCGGGAAUUUCAUAAGAAACAACAAUGCAAACAAGGUGUGGGAGGCAUCCACGAGUUGACCUCUAAAGAAGAGAAUUUUUUUUUUUUUUUAGAAGUUUUGGGGUAGUUUUUGUUCUCCCCCUUUUUUAUGCUCUUCUUUUUUUUUCAAUUUUCAAUGCCCUCGCCUCUUUUAACUGUGAGCGGCUCUUUCUUUAUUGAGAACGUGUGGCUUAUUACGCCACUUAUUACACAUGAUACAAGUAGAACCAAUUCCCUAAUAGAGUUUCAUUUCGGGGAGGAAAGGGGACACAUCAAGGGCACAAGGGACCACAAAUUUAUUCAAACAUAUCCUACUUGAGCAAAUUAGACAAUAUCUUAUACUAGGCGUGCAAUUGAGCAUUCAUUGGCUUUCAUUUCAUAUACUCCAAUGCAAUCAAGAUUAAUAGACCUCUAAAUGACCCCCAACUCGUGCACACACUCUUCUAAAAAAAAA